RNAcentral lists this non-coding RNA (31 nucleotides) under Mus musculus (house mouse). Lineage: Eukaryota; Metazoa; Chordata; Mammalia; Rodentia; Muridae. The record is from RNAcentral.
UGUCAGGUGUUUUCCUCGGUUAUACUUCUAG